This 378-nucleotide long non-coding RNA is filed under the name Scleropages formosus (Asian bonytongue). RNAcentral describes it as "lncRNA (ENSSFOG00015024657.1)". Lineage: Eukaryota; Metazoa; Chordata; Actinopteri; Osteoglossiformes; Osteoglossidae. The record is from RNAcentral.
UCUUUGCACCCCAGUGUUGCUCUCCAUUCACUCAUCCUUCGUGCUGCUCUCGCGCUACCCUGCAGUAUCGUCGUCCUCAUCCUGUCCUCGUGCUACCUGGCGUUCCGCGUGUGCACCCUGGAGGAGCAGCUGUCCUUCCUCAACACCAAGCUGGCCCAGCAUGUAAGGGAGAGGUGAGGACCCCCGGACCCCGGCGCUUCGGACGCUAGGCGGCAGCGGCAAGCGCCGCGCCCUGCGACCGCCGAAUCCGUACUGCGGCAGUACGUCGAAAUGGCUGCGGAUCCAGCUCCGAUCGUCUUCUGCCGAAGGUAACCCCUGCUCCUGGCUGCACCCCCCAGGAAGUCCCGCCUCAGAGGACACGCCCCCGCGUGCACUAAC